GAAAGCCGAAUCCAAAAGGCCCGAAGAAAGAAGUACUAAGACUAUUAUUAGUCGAGUGACCGUGUCUGCCCCCGGUACCUCUUCGACCACCACCGUGAAAACCUACAAGAUUAAAUGUUUAUAACAUUUCUUCUUUGAAAAAUAAAAUCGAGGAAAAAUAGCACAUUGUGUAACAAGUGCGGAAGGUUGAGUGAAGAGUGCAUUUACCCGCACGAGUGGGAAAAGCCGAUCUGCAUGUAUUACACUUUUUUUUUGUUGCCAGUAUGUCGAGGUGUGGUCCCUUGAGAGUUUUGGGUCCUCACAAAUUGACAGGUUAGCUAAGAUUAAAUUAGGUUCGCAAAAGCGAUGAAGUGCCAGUAAUUCUGCGAAAGUUAUCAUAUGCGUGUCGCAAGAUGACGUGCAUGCGAGUGUAGUAACGAAGGUAUGAAAAAUGAUCAAACGUGCAGAAAAAGUCAUGCUGGAAAGUUUUUCACUAUGACUUACGCCAUCUAUUAUAGGA
Long non-coding RNA from Monomorium pharaonis (pharaoh ant), 499 nucleotides. RefSeq lists it as uncharacterized. The transcript is spliced from 2 exons. NCBI's taxonomy places the organism in Eukaryota, Metazoa, Arthropoda, Insecta, Hymenoptera, Formicidae. The record is from RefSeq and is a predicted model, not a curated record.